This 254-nucleotide ribosomal RNA is filed under the name uncultured bacterium. RNAcentral's name for it is "partial 16S ribosomal RNA". It matches the Rfam family "Bacterial small subunit ribosomal RNA", at positions 524 to 776 of the family's 1533-position model. The record is from RNAcentral.
UACGUAGGGGCCUAGCGUUGUCCGGAAUCAUUGGGCGUAAAGAGCUCGUAGGCGGUUCAGCAAGUCACGUGUGAAAUCUCCACGCUUAACGUGGAGGCGCCACGUGAAACUGCCGUGACUCGAGUCCGGUAGGGGAGUGUGGAAUUCCCGGUGUAGCGGUGAAAUGCGCAGAUAUCGGGAGGAACACCAGUAGCGAAGGCGGCACUCUGGGCCGGUACUGACGCUGAGGAGCGAAAGCGUGGGGAGCGAACAGG